This 415-nucleotide ribosomal RNA is filed under the name uncultured Clostridium sp. Its description in RNAcentral is "bacterial SSU rRNA". It matches the Rfam family "Bacterial small subunit ribosomal RNA", at positions 349 to 782 of the family's 1533-position model. The record is from RNAcentral. Lineage: Bacteria; Bacillati; Bacillota; Clostridia; Eubacteriales; Clostridiaceae.
CAGCAGUGGGGAAUAUUGCACAAUGGGCGAAAGCCUGAUGCAGCAACGCCGCGUGAGCGAUGAAGGCCUUCGGGUCGUAAAGCUCUGUCCUCAAGGAAGAUAAUGACGGUACUUGAGGAGGAAGCCCCGGCUAACUACGUGCCAGCAGCCGCGGUAAUACGUAGGGGGCUAGCGUUAUCCGGAAUUACUGGGCGUAAAGGGUGCGUAGGCGGUCUUUCAAGCCAGAAGUGAAAGGCUACGGCUCAACCGUAGUAAGCUUUUGGAACUGUAAGACUUGAGUGCAGGAGAGGAGAGUGGAAUUCCUAGUGUAGCGGUGAAAUGCGUAGAUAUUAGGAGGAACACCAGUAGCGAAGGCGGCUCUCUGGACUGUAACUGACGCUGAGGCACGAAAGCGUGGGGAGCAAACAGGAUUAGA